UACGGAGGAUCCGAGCGUUAUCCGGAUUUAUUGGGUUUAAAGGGAGCGUAGGCGGGUUGUUAAGUUAGUUGUGAAAGUUUGCGGCUCAACCGUAAAAUUGCAGUUGAUACUGGCAUCCUUGAGUACAGUAGAGGUAGGCGGAAUUCGUGGUGUAGCGGUGAAAUGCUUAGAUAUCACGAAGAACUCCGAUUGCGAAGGCAGCCUGCUGGACUGUAACUGACGCUGAUGCUCGAAAGUGUGGGUAUCAAACAGG
Molecule: ribosomal RNA, 253 nt
Filed under: uncultured bacterium
Lineage: Bacteria
Description: partial 16S ribosomal RNA
Rfam family: Bacterial small subunit ribosomal RNA
Source: RNAcentral